This 1326-nucleotide long non-coding RNA is filed under the name Musa acuminata (dwarf banana). RNAcentral's name for it is "long non-coding RNA (MACU_LNC008840)". Lineage: Eukaryota; Viridiplantae; Streptophyta; Magnoliopsida; Zingiberales; Musaceae. The record is from RNAcentral.
GUGGACCAUGUAGGUCACAUGUUUCCUCAACAUAUACAUAAUGUGCCAUCUGUGUACUUCUUAUGUACAACCACAAGAGAAAUCACAUUAAAAUGUGCAGAGAGUAGUUGGGAGGAGAAAACAAGAGGGCACCUUUGUGAAAAAUCAAGAAUUCAAAUACCAGUUGGAUCAGUACAUAUACAUAUCGAUCAGACCAUGACCAAGGACUGGAAACCACAAAAUAUGACUCGGCAGCAAAUAAUAUUAAUUUCCUGAUUCCUUUUUCAAUUAUAUAGGAUGAUACAAAUCGGUAAAAUUGUCCGGUAUUCUGGUACCAUAACAGUCGACAGGAUUCACUAUCGGUGUAGUACCGAGAUUGUAAACCUUGAUGGUAAGGAAACCUCGUCGAAGAAGACAACAUCAGCUAGAUGGGCCAAUUAGAGCAGCGGGACAUCAUGGAGGCAUACAAGAGGGCGAGUAAAUGUUUUCUUGCUAAAAUUUAUGAUUUCGCAUAAAAUAAACACAAUAGGAAUUUUUCUUUAGUGCUAUCAAGGAGAUGAUUGAGUUCUACAAAGAAAAUUAAAUAAGGUUUGAUAAGGCAUAUUUUGGAUCCCUGCCACGUUACGACCCACGCCACAUCACGCCCCUGCCAAGUCAGCAUGAGGGGUGCUUCCCCGUACCGAGCCGAAGCCCGUACAGGGAGGCGCCCCCUCGACGAGUCUCGUCCCGGAAAGCUCAGGACGGCACCGCAUGGCAUCGUUCCGUGCAUACCAGGCGGCGGCCGCACAAUGGUACCGUCUCGUCACUUAGGGGAUCAGCCACCACGCCAAAUCCGCGUACGAUCGAUCCUCGGGCAACAGUAUAAAAACCCCUUACCGGCAUCUGGCCAGGGGACGAAAGAGAGAUUACAGACUUAAUCUACGAGGGGCCCAAGUCGGGAACCCCCCGACCAGGGCCUGUGUGCAGGAACUCAGCCACUCCUGGAGGCACGGCAGUCCCGACCGAGAGACACCUUCCCAGAAGAUGGCAUCAGCGUCCCGACCCCUGAUCUAGUCGGCUACAACACUUCUUCCAAUCAACCGAGAGACGCGUUCCCAGAAGACGGCAUCACCGACCCGACCCCUGAUCCAGUCGGCUACAGCACUUCUUCCGAUCAACCAAGAGACGCGUUCCCAAAAGACGGCGCAUAAGUUCACCAACAAGGUUCAAUGACAGGCUCGUCAAAGUGGCAUCAAACAGUCAAUUCACGAACAAUUUACAUAAUUAACCGGAGUCCAAGCAUAAGAAUCGCAAACGAGAGAACACAUCCUUAUCGGAGAAGGCGAUCUACACAACAAUCAAACGGGC